Molecule: ribosomal RNA, 524 nt
Filed under: uncultured bacterium
Lineage: Bacteria
Description: partial 16S ribosomal RNA
Rfam family: Bacterial small subunit ribosomal RNA
Source: RNAcentral
GACGAACGCUGGCGGCGUGCCUAAUACAUGCAAGUCGAACGCUUUUUCUUUCACCGGAGCUUGCUCCACCGGAAAAAGAGGAGUGGCGAACGGGUGAGUAACACGUGGGUAACCUGCCCAUCAGAAGGGGAUAACACUUGGAAACAGGUGCUAAUACCGUAUAACAAUCAAAACCGCAUGGUUUUGAUUUGAAAGGCGCUUUCGGGUGUCGCUGAUGGAUGGACCCGCGGUGCAUUAGCUAGUUGGUGAGGUAACGGCUCACAAAGGCCACGAUGCAUAGCCGACCUGAGAGGGUGAUCGGCCACAUUGGGACUGAGACACGGCCCAAACUCCUACGGGAGGCAGCAGUAGGGAAUCUUCGGCAAUGGACGAAAGUCUGACCGAGCAACGCCGCGUGAGUGAAGAAGGUUUUCGGAUCGUAAAACUCUGUUGUUAGAGAAGAACAAGGAUGAGAGUAACUGUUCAUCCCUUGACGGUAUCUAACCAGAAAGCCACGGCUAACUACGUGCCAGCCGCCGCAGUAA